RNAcentral lists this transfer RNA (73 nucleotides) under Anisakis simplex (herring worm). It matches the Rfam family "tRNA". Rfam says of the family: Transfer RNA (tRNA) molecules are approximately 80 nucleotides in length. Their secondary structure includes four short double-helical elements and three loops (D, anti-codon, and T loops). Further hydrogen bonds mediate the characteristic L-shaped molecular structure. tRNAs have two regions of fundamental functional importance: the anti-codon, which is responsible for specific mRNA codon recognition, and the 3' end, to which the tRNAs corresponding amino acid is attached (by aminoacyl-tRNA synthetases). tRNAs cope with the degeneracy of the genetic code in two manners: having more than one tRNA (with a specific anti-codon) for a particular amino acid; and 'wobble' base-pairing, i.e. permitting non-standard base-pairing at the 3rd anti-codon position. The record is from Rfam by way of RNAcentral. Lineage: Eukaryota; Metazoa; Nematoda; Chromadorea; Rhabditida; Anisakidae.
UCCGCAAUAGUUUAGAAGUAGAACAUCAAACCGACAAAUUGGUAUGCUGCGGGUUUGAUUCCCGUUCGCGGAA